UAUUUAAAACACCUCAAAACAGUAUAAAAUAGUGUGCUGAGACACAUCAUAGUAUAGGAUGGAAUGAUUCUGUUUUGGUUCUAUUGUAAUUUUUUGUGUGUUUCUUUUCCCCUCCCUUUUGUAUUUCCUUUAGACUCCUACAGUUUGUUUUGCAGGGGUUGGGACUGUUUGUGCUGCAGCUCCUGAUGAAGUACUGCUGUUUCCACUUCUUCUCAUCAACCUGACAAUAACAACCUGAUCAGCAGUCCACAACACUUCAAACUCAUCCAGACAACCCUGUGCUCCAACCUCUUGUUUUUUUUUUAUACCACAGUUUGCAAUGAGGCAGCCUGCUCCCUGUCACCACUGUCUGCUCUUUUGUCCUUUGUUUAAUAAAUACUUUUUGAUCUACAAA
Non-coding RNA from Plectropomus leopardus (leopard coralgrouper), 394 nucleotides. Lineage: Eukaryota; Metazoa; Chordata; Actinopteri; Perciformes; Serranidae. The record is from RefSeq and is a predicted model, not a curated record.